GGGAAUGUGGCUUAGUGGUAGAGUGCUUGCCUAACAUGCAUGAAGCCUUGGGUCAAUUCCUCAGUACCA
Molecule: transfer RNA, 69 nt
Filed under: Dipodomys ordii (Ord's kangaroo rat)
Lineage: Eukaryota; Metazoa; Chordata; Mammalia; Rodentia; Heteromyidae
Rfam family: tRNA
About the family: Transfer RNA (tRNA) molecules are approximately 80 nucleotides in length. Their secondary structure includes four short double-helical elements and three loops (D, anti-codon, and T loops).
Source: Rfam by way of RNAcentral